GUUUCCACAUGGCUACGCAACAAGUGAAGGUGCAGCCUGUGAGUAGUUGGUCGGCUCUCAAUCAUUGAUGAAUUUUUUCCAGCAAUAUUGAUAUUGUGGAUAGAGCAUUGGUAGCAACUAUUGUUUAUCCCUUAGUAUUGUGUCACUCAGCAACUUAUUGACAAUUGUUAGAUCAAUGGACAUGAAUAUCUUGUGUUGAUGCAUUUGUUGGUUCUUGCAGGCAGAGAGAUGGCAGAAACGGUGUCUACUCCCUGUUUGGAUUGGAAGGUCAGAGAGCGGGGUUGUGCUCGCGAAGCCAUUCCUUGAUGUCUGACAUUGAAAAGGAUGGAGGAUGAUAGAGAAGACAUGCAGAGUAGUUGAAAAUUUGCAAGGCCACUUGUGAGCAUGCCUUGUACACAUGAGAAAAGCCAAGAAGAGGCUGCAUGUUGAUGGUUGUGUUCCACCUGUGUCAUCUUUUGUUGAUCCUUGCUAGCUGUGCAUAAAUAGCCGUGUGCGUUCAGCUACAAUUAUUUGAGUUGAGUUUGUUUCCUCUUGUUCUGAAUGGUAAGCAACUAGUGGAAGCAACAUGUAAUAUUAGUGCUAUGAUAGUCGGCUUGUGAACGUGCUUGCGGCGACUGGAAUUCGGAACUUUGAUUAUGCUCCAGCCUGGUGAUCUUGCGAUUGAUGAGGUGGUCUGUACUGCAUGGAUGCAUGCAACGGCCUCAGUUAGCUGAAAAGGCUUACUCAUGUAUUAAGAAGCUUGCACUUGUCUCCUAGUAGCUUAGCUGCUCCAAGUUUACUCGUGUGUCCAAGUUGUAAAUUGAAAGAGUCAAUGAGUAAAAUUUGGAAAAAAAGGCUACAUCUUAAAGUUGGAAAUAUGAUGAAUCUUCGUUUCAGAAAUUGCCGGUGUUAGGAAUUUCUCUAGCUCUUUCCUAUUGAAGAAGUGGCACUUAUCCU
Lolium rigidum is the source of this 936-nucleotide long non-coding RNA. RefSeq lists it as uncharacterized. The record is from RefSeq and is a predicted model, not a curated record. The transcript is spliced from 2 exons. NCBI's taxonomy places the organism in Eukaryota, Viridiplantae, Streptophyta, Magnoliopsida, Poales, Poaceae.